AAUGAGAAUUCAUUUCAAGUUAGAGCGUCGAUGUAAGUGGGAUAAUCUCGGUGAAUGUUUUUUUUUGGUUUGUUUGAAUAAUUCCGUCAGUUGUUUGUAUAGUGGAAUAUCGAUUGCGUUCGUGGUUGCAGUUUGAUCCCAUCUUUCUUUACGUCGACUGUGAAAUACAUAUAUUUGUAUAUUUGAAAGGUUAAUAACUAAUUUGUUGAAUGACUGAGAGGUUAACACAGUGAUUUGAUAGAGAAGCAAAGAAGAAAUAAAUUUCUGUGUUUAGUUACAUGCUGUAUACGGUUACACACAUACUAUAUGGAUAACACUCGUCUAUCGUAAUGUGUUUGAUGAAGUAAACAUUUAGUGUUGUGUCUAUUAUAUUUACGUUAUAUAACUUCUUACAAACCGAAACGGAUUAACAAUGAAAGCUAUUACUGCUGUGUGUGCAAAUGGCGCCUCCGCUCCAACCAUAACCAAUGGCCGUAUAUCAAGGCAUCGAGAUGGUGAAAAUGAUGAAAUACAAAUGUAUCUGUCAAAGUUAAAAGACCUAGUGCCGAAUAUGCCAAAAAAUAAAAAAAUCUCCAAACUGGAGGUCAUACAGAAUGUUAUCGAUUACAUUUGCGAUUUACAGCGAGCGCUGGAAACAACAUCGAAUUCAUCAGCAAUUAGCAAUUUUGAUGCCAGUGCCGUGUUAUGUGAAUCGUUAAGUCCACGUCAGCCGUUGGGUGUGCGGUCUAGUCCAAAUAGAAAUUUUGCUAAUAGCACUUCCGAAACGAAUGCGAUAACAGAUAAACCUAGUGAUGAUCGGUCGAUAUAAGUAAGUUCCAACCAUCCACAAUCCAUCAAUAUUAUUUAACAAAUCACUUAUGGAUACGGUCCAGUUGCACCAUAGAUAUGUAGAGAGAAGAACAGAGAAAAUAUUUUCAACGCAAUGGAAUCAACCCUUCCGAUUUUGAUUGUACAAUCAAAGUAUAAGAAUCUUGUAAAAUAGAACCCACAAAUUUUAUGUUCGUAGGAUUAAGUCAAGAGGAUGUUUUAUUAGUUCUACAUUGCACACAAUAUGUUUCUCAGAAAACCUUUCAGGAACGACUAGUCACUUUUGUCGAUGACAAAAAUGAGCGUUGUAGCGGUUCUAGCUCUAUUCAUGCUGCAAGUGCGCUUAAGAAUUUUAAUUUUAAGCGAACGAAUGACCGACAUGAAUUGAUUUUGAUAAAACAAAUGAAAGAUGUUGUUGCAUUGAGCGAAAAUGUUAAAUCAAAGUGAAAUCACGAUUUAAUGGUUAUCCGCUUGCCGUUCCUGAAAGGUUAACUACACCUCAAUUUAUACAGAAAUAAAAUUGAAUUAUGAAGUGACUAUAUUGACCUAUAUUGUAUUGAAUGGACCCAUAAGAUUAUAUUAAAAUAAAUGAAAAAUGAAAAUAUUAUUGUAACAAUGUUCUGUGAUCCAUAGAAUUAAUUUUUUACAAAAUAUUUAGAUUGCAACACCACACGAAAAUUAUAAGUAAAUGAAGCAAAAGAAGAAGAAAAAAACAAAGAAGGAAAAGAGCAAGAGAGUUUUUGUUUACGCGCGGAGUUGCACUUCGUUGCACAUUCACACACGGUGUUAAUGAGAACCAGGGCCGUAAAUUUGUAAAAAAAAAUGAAUUUGAGUUUAGUGCGAUCGAAGUAGUGCCGAAGUCAUGUAUAAAUUUACGCACUAGUGCGUAAAAGUGACAUUUGUAAAAAUGGGGACUCCACUGUCGUACAUAAAAUCUUGUUCCUAACUUGUGCCUUAACUAGGGACUAAACAUUUUCCCAUAUUUUCUUCAAUUUUCCUAGAGUUUCCAUGUUUUUCUUAAUUUACCUAAAAAGUAUUUUUGGGGAAAAUUUGUGAAAAUGUCAGAAAAUUGAGGAAAAUUUUGCGAAAAUGUUUUCCCAAAAAUAGUUUUUAGCAUACGCCUAGCUCUCACAUCGUUCGGGCAAAAUUUCCACGAAGGCACUUGUUGGGAAAAUAACUGUAAAUGAAAAGAUACAAACAUUUGAAUGAUGUGGUCACAUUGAUAUUUUUCUAAAAAUAUGUUCCACAGUGUGGGUGGAAUCUACUACACCCUUUGCAUUAUAAAAUAAAUAAAGAAAAUAUUUUGUGACUUUCGUUUUAGGUAAUCUACUUUUUGGCAUUUGACGAUCUAAAUUUUAAAAACUUUGUUUUUUGUUAUUUUUUAUUGUUUCUAGAAUUUUAUUUAGUAUUUAUUGAUUAAAUGAAGAGAAUUUUUUUUACAUUUUAUUGCUUCUUUUUUUAUUGAGAGAAAAACAUUUCCAUUUGAACAUCCUUCCUAGUAAGACACACAAAAAAUGGGAAAUUUUUAUUUUUAAAGUUUAUUAAUUAAGAGCACAUUAGUCAUGCAUUGUGUAAUAUAGAAUUGAGAAAUUUUUGUUUAGUAAUCUAAGUGAAGAACACAAUUAAAAUGAAAAUAAAAAAAACGCAAAACCAGCAAAACUAUAUUGAAAUGAAUAUGCAUUUCAAUCGGAGGCAAAAAGGAGAGCAAAAUGUAUAAUAAAAUUAUGUAUGAACAAAAAUAUAAAAAAAA
Long non-coding RNA from Bradysia coprophila, 2557 nucleotides. Lineage: Eukaryota; Metazoa; Arthropoda; Insecta; Diptera; Sciaridae. The record is from RefSeq and is a predicted model, not a curated record.